CACGUAGUUAGCCGUGGCUUCCUCCUUGGGUACCGUCAUUAUCGUCCCCAAAGACAGAGCUUUACAACCCGAAGGCCCUCAUCACUCACGCGGCGUUGCUGCAUCAGGGUUUCCCCCAUUGUGCAAUAUUCCCCACUGCUGCCUCCCGUAGGAGUCUGGGCCGUGUCUCAGUCCCAAUGUGGCCGAUCACCCUCUCAGGUCGGCUACGCAUCGUCGCCUUGGUGAGCCAUUACCUCACCAACUAGCUAAUGCGCCGCGGGUCCAUCUUAUAGCGGACUGCUCCUUUGGUUAUCGAUUCAUGCGAAUCAACAACUUUAUGCGGUAUUAAUCUUCCUUUCGGAAGGCUAUUCCCCUCUAUAAGGCAGGUUACCCACGUGUUACUCACCCGUCCGCCGCUAAUCCGUUCCCGAAGGAACUUCAUCGCUCGACUUGCAUGUGUUAGGCACGCCGCCAGCGUCGUCUCGUAGCCACGGAGUCAACUAC
RNAcentral lists this ribosomal RNA (483 nucleotides) under uncultured Clostridiaceae bacterium. RNAcentral's name for it is "partial 16S ribosomal RNA". The record is from RNAcentral. Lineage: Bacteria; Bacillati; Bacillota; Clostridia; Eubacteriales; Clostridiaceae.